UAAGCAGAGCCCUUGAAUGGUAAAGCCGCGAAUGGCUCAUUACAACAGCCACAGUUUAUUGGGUCUCCAUUUACUUGGAUAACUGAGCUAAUUGUUGAGCUAAUACACGCACCAAAGCUUCGACCUCACGGGAGGAGCGCAUUUAUUAGAACAAAACCAAUCGGACUUCGGUCCGUCCAUUGGUGAAUCUAAAUAACUUAGCCGAUCGCAUGGUCUCGCACCGGCGACUCACCUUUCAAAUGUCUGCCUUAUCACCUUUCGAUGGUAGUUUAUACGCCUACCAUGGGUUUUACGGGUAACGGAGAAUAAGGGUUCGACUCCGGAGAGGGAGCCUGAGAAACGGCUACCACAUCCAAGGAAGGCAGCAGGCACGCAAAUUACCCACUCCCGGCACGGGGAGGUAGUGACGAAAAAUAACGAGGCGGUUCUCUAUGAGGCCCGCCAUCGGAAUGGGUACAAUCUAAAUC
RNAcentral lists this ribosomal RNA (467 nucleotides) under unidentified nematode Sourhope farm. RNAcentral's name for it is "SSU rRNA". It matches the Rfam family "Eukaryotic small subunit ribosomal RNA", at positions 60 to 531 of the family's 1831-position model. The record is from RNAcentral. Lineage: Eukaryota; Metazoa; Nematoda.